AUACUUACCUGGCAGAGGAGAUAAGACUACAAAGGUGGUUUUCUCAGGAUGAUACUUGUACAUUGCACUCUGGAUAUGCUAACCCCUGUAAUUUCCUCAAAUGCUGGAAACUUGACUGUGGUGGUGGGGGACUGUGACUGUGUUCACUCCACAGA
RNAcentral lists this small nuclear RNA (155 nucleotides) under Jaculus jaculus (lesser Egyptian jerboa). Its description in RNAcentral is "U1 spliceosomal RNA (ENSJJAG00000003546.1)". It matches the Rfam family "U1 spliceosomal RNA". Rfam says of the family: U1 is a small nuclear RNA (snRNA) component of the spliceosome (involved in pre-mRNA splicing). Lineage: Eukaryota; Metazoa; Chordata; Mammalia; Rodentia; Dipodidae. The record is from RNAcentral.